This 439-nucleotide ribosomal RNA is filed under the name uncultured bacterium. RNAcentral's name for it is "bacterial SSU rRNA". It matches the Rfam family "Bacterial small subunit ribosomal RNA", at positions 339 to 794 of the family's 1533-position model. The record is from RNAcentral.
GUACGGGAGGCAGCAGUGGGGAAUCUUCCGCAAUGGGCGAAAGCCUGACGGAGCAACGCCGCGUGAGGGAAGAAGGCCUUCGGGUUGUAAACCUCUGUUUUCAGGGACGAACAAAUGACGGUACCUGAAGAGUAAGCCCCGGCUAACUACGUGCCAGCAGCCGCGGUAAUACGUAGGGGGCGAGCGUUGUCCGGAAUUACUGGGCGUAAAGGGCGCGUAGGUGGUUCAUUAAGUUAGAGGUGAAAGUUCGGGGCUCAACCCCGUGAGGCCUCUGAUACUGGUGGACUUGAGUGCAGGAGAGGGGAGCAGAAUUCCCAGUGUAGCGGUGAAAUGCGUAGAUAUUGGGAGGAAUACCAGUGGCGAAGGCGGCUCUCUGGACUGUAACUGACACUGAGGCGCGAAAGCGUGGGGAGCAAACAGGAUUAGAUACCCCGGUAGC